This 314-nucleotide ribosomal RNA is filed under the name Triticum aestivum (bread wheat). RNAcentral describes it as "partial small subunit ribosomal RNA". Lineage: Eukaryota; Viridiplantae; Streptophyta; Magnoliopsida; Poales; Poaceae. The record is from RNAcentral.
CCCCGGUUCCGCCUCGCCGGCGUGUCGGCGGCGUUACAGGUCCCCGCCUUCGCCGGUUAUGCCGCUCCGCCACAAACAGGCCGCCGGCAUGCAGGAGUACGAACCCGAGCUGGAGGGCGACACGCAGGGGUGGCCGUAGUGGUUCGAAGGGUCGGCGCAGGCGCAGCCGAGGCUCCUACAGGGCUAAACUGUCCCUCGUCGUGUACCUACAGCUAAAAAACCGUGGAGACGAGAGUACUUUGAUCAUACCUAUCCAAGUCCGUGUGGAAACGAGCAAAAGUCGUACUCCUCCUUCUUCUACUAAAUUAAAGAAA